GAUGAACGCUGGCGGCGUGCCUAAUACAUGCAAGUAGAACGCUGAAGGAAGGAGCUUGCUCUUUCCGGAUGAGUUGCGAACGGGUGAGUAACGCGUAGGUAACCUGCCUGGUAGCGGGGGAUAACUAUUGGAAACGAUAGCUAAUACCGCAUAACAGUAGAUGUUGCAUGAUAUCUACUUAAAAGGUGCAAUUGCACCACUACCAGAUGGACCUGCGUUGUAUUAGCUAGUUGGUGAGGUAACGGCUCACCAAGGCGACGAUACAUAGCCGACCUGAGAGGGUGAUCGGCCACACUGGGGCUGAGACACGGCCCAGACUCCUACGGGAGGCAGCAGUAGGGAAUCUUCGGCAAUGGACGGAAGUCUGACCGAGCAACGCCGCGUGAGUGAAGAAGGUUUUCGGAUCGUAGAGCUCUGUUGUAAGAGAAGAACGAGUGUGAGAGUGGAAAGUUCACACUGUGACGGUAUCUUACCAGAAAGGGACGGCUAACUACGUG
Molecule: ribosomal RNA, 497 nt
Filed under: uncultured bacterium
Lineage: Bacteria
Description: partial 16S ribosomal RNA
Rfam family: Bacterial small subunit ribosomal RNA
Source: RNAcentral